Molecule: transfer RNA, 59 nt
Filed under: Strongylus equinus
Lineage: Eukaryota; Metazoa; Nematoda; Chromadorea; Rhabditida; Strongylidae
Description: tRNA-Asp
Source: RNAcentral
AAAGUUUUAGUAUAUUUAAGUUAGUAUAAACUAUUGUCAAUAGUUAGGUUUAAACUUUA